Molecule: non-coding RNA, 481 nt
Organism: Schizosaccharomyces pombe (fission yeast)
Lineage: Eukaryota; Fungi; Ascomycota; Schizosaccharomycetes; Schizosaccharomycetales; Schizosaccharomycetaceae
Source: the annotation of a GenBank genome assembly
CUUUAGCUCAUCUUGAACACGUUUUUGAAUGUAAUUUUCCAUAUCCAUAUAGCGGCUUGUGUCAGUCUCCGUGGAUUCUUGUAGGUGCCGGACAAACUUCUCUGAAAACUCAGUAGGAGCACGCAAAACAAAUUCUGGUUGGGAUUGUUGAUUGCCCAUUUUGAAACUGACAGCUACUUUUUAGUUUUUUCAAAUGAACGGGGUAAGCAAAGGAAUGGAUUUUUACACAGUACAGUCGUACACGGUGAAAAGAGCUACACCAUAAUUUGGGGAACAUUGCUACCUAAUUGUAUUGAAACAAAAAGCAAGCGAACAGUUGAGUGUGGGCUGCUGAAAUUUAGAAGUUUAUAUCGAAUUUUGCUUUUUAUUCACAAACCGGGAAGCAUAUUCUCUUUAUCACAGCUAGUGUAUUUAUCUCACUACCACGUUCAUUAAUUAAGUUGUAUUAUUACACAAUCGGCAGCGAAAGGGCAGAUAGUUC